This 367-nucleotide ribosomal RNA is filed under the name uncultured organism. Its description in RNAcentral is "bacterial LSU rRNA". It matches the Rfam family "Bacterial large subunit ribosomal RNA", at positions 2099 to 2465 of the family's 2925-position model. The record is from RNAcentral.
CUUUACUGUAACUUGAAAUUGAAAUUGGACUUUAUUCGCGCAGUAUAGGUGGGAGGUGUUGAUUAUAAUCUUGUGGGAUUAUUGGAGCCAUCAGUGAGAUACCACUCUUGUAAUGUUAGAUUUCUAACUUUGAAUCAUGAUCUGGUCAAAGAACAGUUUCAGGCGGGCAGUUUGACUGGGGCGGUCGCCUCCUAAACGGUAACGGAGGCGUACAAAGGUUUCCUCUGAACGGGUAGAAAUCGUAUCUAGAGUGUAAAGGCAUAAGGAAGCUUGACUGUGAGACCUACAAGUCGAGCAGGGACGAAAGUCGGUCUUAGUGAUCUGACGGUACUGAGUGGAAAGGCCGUCACUCAACGGAUAAAAGUUA